RNA transcript from Sapajus apella (tufted capuchin), 976 nucleotides. It is a transcript of the gene named spliceosome-associated protein CWC15 homolog pseudogene, with no coding region annotated. The record is from RefSeq and is a predicted model, not a curated record. The transcript has a single exon. NCBI's taxonomy places the organism in Eukaryota, Metazoa, Chordata, Mammalia, Primates, Cebidae.
CAGACUAUCUUCUUUAUCCCGCAUAAAAGAUGACAACUGCAGCCAGGCCAACCUUUGAACCUGCAAGGGGUGGAAGAGGGAAAGGAGAAGGUGAUUUGAGCCAGCUUUCAAAGCAGUAUUCAAGCAGAGACCUACCUUCUCAUACAAAGAUAAAAUACAGAAAAACUACUCAGGAUGCCCCUGAAGACGUUCGUAACCGUGACUUCAGGAGAGAGUUGGAAGAGGGAGAGCGGCUGCAAGAGAGAAAAAUAGAGAUCGUCCAACCCGAGAACAUACAACCUCCUCUUCGGUGUCAAAAAAGACACAGUUAGACCAGAUUCCUGCUGCCAACCUUGAUGCAGAUGACCCUCUAACAGAUGAGGAAGAUGAAGAUUUUGAAGAGGAAAGUGAUGAUGAUGAUACUGCAGCUCUUCUUGCAGAACUGGAAAAAAUUAAAAAAGAAAGAGCUGAAGAGCAGGCCAGGAAGGAACAAGAACAAAAAGCUGAAGAAGAGAGGAUUCUUGUGGAAAACAUUCUGAGCGGAGACCCUCUCCUUUAUCUCACUGGCCCAUCCCAGCCUCAGGCCAACUUCAAAGUUAAAAGAAGGUGGGAUGAUGAUGUUGUCUUCAAGAACUGUGCAAAAGGUGUAGAUGACCAGAAGAAAGACAAAAGAUUUGUAAAUGACACACUGCGAUCUGAAUUUCACAAAAAGUUUAUGGAGAAAUAUAUUAAGUAGUACAGUUUUGUGUGCUUAAUUAAAGACUGUAAAACGCAAAGGAUCAUUCUGACAUUUUUGGAUGCAUUUUUUUCUUUUCCCCUGUCUAAAUUGUGUGUAGGCUUUCCUAAUUUUAAACUCUUAUGUUUUUCUUUAGUGAUACCUUACUUGAGAAUAGACUUGGGAAUAGGUUUAACCCAGUUUGCAUUUUCUCAAUGUUUCCAGUACUACUUUUCCUUGGGAAAAGCAAAUCUGCCUGUAAUAAAUAUUUUUAAUCUAAAU